GACGAACGCUGGCGGCGUGCUUAACACAUGCAAGUCGAACGGAAAGGCCCUGCUUUUGUGGGGUGCUCGAGUGGCGAACGGGUGAGUAACACGUGAGUAACCUGCCCUUGACUUUGGGAUAACUUCAGGAAACUGGGGCUAAUACCGGAUAGGAGCUCCUGCUGCAUGGUGGGGGUUGGAAAGUUUCGGCGGUUGGGGAUGGACUCGCGGCUUAUCCGCUUGUUGGUGGGGUAGUGGCUUACCAAGGCUUUGACGGGUAGCCGGCCUGAGAGGGUGACCGGCCACAUUGCGACUGAGAUACGGCCCAGACUCCUACGGGAGGCAGCAGUGGGGAAUAUUGCACAAUGGGCGGAAGCCUGAUGCAGCGACGCCGCGUGCGGGAUGACGGCCUUCGGGUUGUAAACCGCUUUCGCCUGUGACGAAGCGUGAGUGACGGUAAUGGGUAAAGAAGCACCGGCUAACUACGUG
RNAcentral lists this ribosomal RNA (468 nucleotides) under uncultured bacterium. RNAcentral describes it as "partial 16S ribosomal RNA". It matches the Rfam family "Bacterial small subunit ribosomal RNA", at positions 28 to 507 of the family's 1533-position model. The record is from RNAcentral.